Molecule: ribosomal RNA, 497 nt
Filed under: uncultured bacterium
Lineage: Bacteria
Description: partial 16S ribosomal RNA
Rfam family: Bacterial small subunit ribosomal RNA
Source: RNAcentral
ACUCAAAGGAAUUGACGGGGGCCCGCACAAGCGGAGGAGCAUGUGGUUUAAUUCGAUGAUACGCGAGGAACCUUACCUGGGCUUGAAAGUUAGUGACGUUCCGGGAAAUCGGAACUCCCGCAAGGGCACGAAACUAGGUGCUGCAUGGCUGUCGUCAGCUCGUGCCGUGAGGUGUUGGGUUAAGUCCCGUAACGAGCGCAACCCCUAUCAUUAGUUGCCAACAGGUUAUGCUGGGGACUCUAAUGAGACUGCCCGCGCAAGCGGUGAGGAAGGUGGGGACGACGUCAAGUCAUCACGGCCCUUACGUCCAGGGCUACACACGUGCUACAAUGGCCAGUACAGAGGGUUGCUACUUGGUAACAAGAUGCUAAUCUCUAAAGCUGGUCUCAGUUCGGAUUGAGGUCUGCAACUCGACCUCAUGAAGCUGGAUUCGCUAGUAAUCGCAUAUCAGCAAUGAUGCGGUGAAUACGUUCCCGGGCCUUGUACACACCGCCCGU